RNA transcript from Sarcophilus harrisii (Tasmanian devil), 5772 nucleotides. It is a transcript of the gene named DEAD/H-box helicase 11, with no coding region annotated. NCBI's taxonomy places the organism in Eukaryota, Metazoa, Chordata, Mammalia, Dasyuromorphia, Dasyuridae. The record is from RefSeq and is a predicted model, not a curated record. The transcript has 28 exons.
CAGGAGCGUGGGGGCGGUGAACCCACUCUUCAGCUUCUUCAGCGGCCGGAACUAGUUCCGUCGCGGAGGCGUUCGUGCGUGCGAAGAGACGUGAUUACGUCUAGGCUACCCGCGGGAAGCGGCGGUUUCAAAACGAGGGAGCUUACUCCAAGUAAUGACUUACCUUUUUAAGGAACAUGGCAGAUCAAACCCAGGAAGGAAGCAUACAUUUCCCUUUCCCCUACACUCCUUACUCUAUCCAGAAGGACUUUAUGGCAGAGCUGUACCGUGUUUUGGAAGCUGGAAAAAUUGGAAUAUUUGAGAGUCCAACUGGCACUGGUAAAUCCUUAAGUCUCAUUUGUGGGGCCCUUUCUUGGCUUCGGGACUUUGAGCAGAAGAAGCAGCAAGAAGAAGCCCAUCUUCUUGACACAGGAAUUGCUCCACCAGAUUUUCUGGAAGAAGGCCCACCUCACAUGUCUACUAAUCAGGAGGCUUCAGAUGCUCCAAAGUCUACUGGGGAGCCUGAUUGGAUUGUCCAGUUUGUGCAGAAGAAGGAAGAAAAAGACAGGAUAGACAGACUUAGGGAUGAACAGAUCAAGAAGAAGAAGCGAGAAGAACGUCUCCAACAGUUACGCCACAAUGUACAUUUAAAAUAUGCAGCCAAAAGAGUGAGACAAGAAGAAGAAGAGAUGGAGCGCCUGUUGCACCUCAGCAAGGAGAUGUUAGCAGCAGCUGGGAGUGGACAGCCAGAAGAAGAACUCUGCAAGGAAGAAGAGCUGCUGCUUGCUGAAUAUGAAAGUGAUGAGGAGAAAAAAACAGUCAGUGGAGCUCAUGAAGAAGAUGAGGAAGAUCUAGAAGAGGAACAUGUAACUAAGAUUUAUUACUGCAGCCGAACCCACUCUCAGCUGACGCAGUUUGUGCGCGAGGUGCAGAAGAGCCCCUUCGGCAAGGAGACGCGCCUUGUCUCCCUCGGUUCCCGGCAGAACCUUUGUGUGAAUGAAGAGGUGAAGCGCCUGGGCUCAGCCACCCUCAUCAACGACCGCUGUCUGGAGAUGCAGAAAAGCAAGCAUGAAAAGAAGAAUAAAGAGGACGAAAAGGCAAAGAAAAGGAAAACGGAGACUCAUACUUCCUGCCCCUUCUACAACUAUGAGCAGAUGCAGUUUCUUCGUGAUGAGGUUCUAAUGGAAGUGAAGGACAUUGAGCAGCUGGUGGUACUGGGGAAGGAGACUCACGCCUGCCCCUACUAUGGAAGCCGAUUUGCCAUUCCCUCAGCCCAGCUGGUGGUUCUCCCUUACCAAAUGCUGCUGCAUGCAGCUACCCGCCAUGCUGCAGGCAUUAAACUUCAGGGACAAGUGGUGAUCAUUGAUGAAGCCCACAAUCUGAUUGAUUCUAUCACGAGCAUCCACAGUGCUGAAGUUAAUGGUUCCCAGCUCUGCCAGGCUCACUCUCAGCUGUCCCAAUACAUGGAGCGAUACAGGAAACUUUUGAAGGCCAAGAACCUGAUGUACAUCAAACAAAUUUUAUAUUUGCUGGAGAAAUUUGUGACUGUUUUGGGUGGAAAUGUGAAACAGAAUCCCAACACACAGAACCUCUGUCAAACAGGGACUGAGCUGAAGACCAUCAAUGACUUCCUGUUUCAGAGUCAGAUUGACAAUAUCAACCUUUUCAAGGUACAGCGGUAUUUUGAAAAGAGCAUGGUCAGCAGAAAGCUAUUUGGGUUCACUACGGAAUACGGUGGUGUCUCUAUUCUUCCAUCUUCUAAAGAACAAUCCAAAUUGACUGGUUUCCAGCACUUCUUGCAGAGCCUUCAGCCCGGGCCUGGAGCAGCUCCUUCAUCUGCUCCUGGAGAGGAUGAGGGUGGCCCGCCGCGCCUGGGCUCUCCAUUGAUGCAGAUUGAAAGCUUCCUUGCGGCCCUCACCACCGCCAACCAGGACGGCAGGGUGAUUGUGAGCAGACAAGGCAGCCUCAGUCAGAGCAGCCUCCGGUUUCUCCUCUUGAAUCCCUCGGUGCACUUUGCCCAGGUGGUAAAGGAAUGUCGGGCCAUGAUCAUCGCUGGGGGCACCAUGCAGCCGGUGGCUGAUUUUCGGGAACAGUUGCUAGAAUGUGCUGGAGUUGGAACAGAGCGAGUGGUUGAGUUUUCCUGUGGUCAUGUAAUCCCACCAGACAAUAUUCUACCCAUUGUCCUUUGCAGUGGACCCUCUAAUCAGCAGUUGGAAUUCAUCUAUCAGAAGAGAGAGCUGCCUCAGAUGAUGGAUGAAGUCGGCCGCAUCCUAUGCAACCUCUGCAACGUGGUCCCUGGGGGCCUGGUCUGCUUUUUCUCCUCCUAUGACUACCUGCACAAAAUACACGCACACUGGAAGCAGAGUGGGCUGCUGACGCGUCUGGCUGUAAAGAAGAAGAUAUUUCAGGAACCUAACCGAGCAAAUCAGGUGGAACAGGUGUUGACUGAGUACUCCAAGUGCAUUAAGCGAUGCAGCCAAGUGAAAGGUGUGAUGACUGGGGCCCUUCUCCUUUCAGUAGUUGGAGGGAAGAUGAGUGAAGGGAUCAACUUCUCUGACGACUUAGGGCGGUGUGUGGUUAUGGUGGGCAUGCCCUACCCCAACAUCAAAUCCCUGGAGCUGCAAGAGAAGAUGGCAUACCUGGACCAGACUCUUCCCAAUAACCCAGGGAAAUCCUUGAUGGAAAACCUGUGUAUGAAAGCUGUCAAUCAAUCCAUAGGACGAGCCAUCCGGCAUCGGCAGGAUUUUGCCAGCAUCCUGCUCCUAGACCAGCGUUAUUCCCGCCCGUCCAUUCUGGCCAAGCUGCCUGGCUGGAUCCGAGACCAAGUAGAAAUCAAAACUGCAUUUGGCCCAGCCUUUGCUACAUUGCGGAAGUUUCACCGGGAGAAAUCCGAUCCUUCCUGACAGAUGAGCAUCGCUCCCUGCUCCACACCUAAGCCUCUUACAUUUGUUAGUUCAUCUACAGGAGUUGUGACUGCAAAGACAAAACACAGAUGGAUAAGGGUGGGAUCUAACCCCUGCUCUUCUUGGCCUUGGUGUGAAGGCUACAGGACUAUUUUAUGUUGGUGAAAAACAACUGGACAGCAAGACUUGGAGGACCACCUCCUUAAAGGCCCUCUCCCCCCGGGAGCUGAGACCUGCAGGGCCCUUUCAUCUAGGGGUCGGUGCUUGCUCUGGAUCUUAUGUCGGAUGCGCCUCUGAGACCCAGGAUCCUCGGCUCCUUCGAAGAUGGAGUUGUACUCCUGCAGUCUAUCUGGGGCUGGAUACUUGGCACUAGAGAACACCUGUGGGGAGACAGGAACUUUCAGGGAUGAAAGGCACUCUUUUCCUUUGAUGGAAGACCCCCUGGUGAAAAAAAGUGGUAAGGAACACCUUGGAAGGAAGAACUAGGGUGGUUAUGAAGUACCAUCCUCUGGGCCAAGUCGAGAGGCCCUGAGCUUGCCCAAAAGAAGUCGGGAUCUCUGCACUGACACUUGGGGAGCGAAGAGGAAAAAGAUGGUAGUGCCUUUUACCUUAAUUGCCUUCUUGCUGCCCUUGAUUUUCUCGAUCUUGGCCUGAGCCAGAGAGACUCUCUCUCCAAUGACUUGCAGCUGGCUGCGGCUCAUUUCUACUCGUUGGGAAAUCCUACCAGGAAGACCAACACUCAUGAGUGAGGGGCCAUUCCAACGGUGCUAUGCCCCAACUUUCUUAUGCCCUAGUGUCCCAAGUGAAGGAGCGCAUUCUCUGAGAAGACAACUCAGAAGAACCUGUGUGUACUGGAGAACUCCCAUCCAAUAGGGGUUUUGCAAAAGGACUUCAACAGACUGACAUAACUCUAACCCUACAGAACAGAUAUUCAGAAACACCGGUACCUUCCCUACAGCAGGCAAAAUCAUAACUAAGGCGGAGGUCACAAGGUUUUCUCACUAUUUAGCAUCCAGGAAGCUUGAAAUGACCCUAAAGGCUUCAACCUCCUUACACCAAUUCAAGAGAAGUUCAAACAUACCUGUUAAGUGCCUACCUCCCUCUGGUUCAUCAAGUAUUCCUUGAUGUGCAUGUGCAUUAUUGUCAUAAAUAUUUUGUAGAGAAAGUAAGAAAUUAUGGGUUAGGGUAAGUUACUGAUUUUUUUCUUGGUUUUCAUUUGAAGGAGGGGGAAUUUUAAAAGUCUAGGAUUUUUUUCUGAGUGUGAUAGCCUUCUCUAGAUCCUGCCUAAGGCUUCAAAAUUACGUCACCAAGGGUAUGUAAUCUUUUUUAGUAUGGUCUUAAAAUACAGUAUCAGGAGCAAACAGGGGAAGCUGCCUUUGAGAAUGUUUGCUCUCUACAAUACCACCAUGUUAUAGGAGAAUAAGAUUUUUGGGAGGUUUGAGACAGUAUAAUUUGAAAUAGUAUUUUUAUGAAAUUUUAUUCAAAUGCAGUAGACCACAGGCUUGUCUAAAGGUAAGGGCUGUUUAUUUCUGUCUUUGUAUCACCAGUGCUUUGCAUAUACCAGGCUUUUACUAAAUGUUUGAAGAACUAAAUUGAAUAGCUUUUAAUUAGUCAACUUUUUGUUUAUACAGCUGUUACUUUAAUUUUAUUUAUGCAUGCGAGGAAAUUUGAGGCUCAAAUAGAUUAAGUGACUCGACCUUAAACAGUUCAUAAGGACUAGACCCAGAGUCUGUCUCCUAAUUAGCUUUCUUUCACUAUAUUCCCAUUUAGAAAGGAUUUCAUAUAUUAGGUGGAAAGGGGAUAUUAAAUUAUUUCUAAGAUCCCUUCUAACUCUAAUAUCCUAUUUUAAACUAUGGUAUAUUUAUUGAAAAAUCUUUCUCAUUAUAGUCAGACCCCAUAUGUCAAGGCAGGAAUGAGAGUCAAAACACAAGUAUUCUGACUCUUAACAACAGAAAUGACCUUGCCCAGCCCCACUCAAUCCAAAGAAGGUCCUUGUCUCCCUCCCACCCCUCAUACCUAUGACCUGUAUCCUUCUGGGUCUGGUCUCCUCCACAUUAAAGAUGUCCUGGGAUGAACUCUGCCAACUCCUCAGCAUCUAAGUCACCAAAGCCAGUUCCUAUUCUGGCACUUCCCAAAAGGUCCUUGACUUUUAAAAAUCACUGGCUUCUCUUCCUUCCACUUUUCCCAUUUUGUUCUUUCCCAUCCCCAGGCAAAGAAAAACUUGAACCUAAGCUCUCUUCACCUUUCCCUCCUGAGCUCUUGGGAUAAUUAAGAACAAUCUGCUAAUUAUGCAAGCAGCUGAUUGAGUAUUCUGUAACCUAAUGUGCUCCCAAGUGCCAAUCAUUUGAGAGAGGCAGAAAAAGAUGGAGCAGAAGAAGGGGGGGAGGCAAGAAGAAAAUAAAGGAAAGCUUUUUAUUAAUGCCAUCUCUACCUCCUUCUUGCAUGUCCCCCACUUUCCCUAAAGAAGGUAGCUUUUCCCUCAAAGUUAUUAAGUAGGCGUGAAAAAAGGAAUAAGUAUAUAAGUCAGUUGCAUCCAUGCUGUAAACCAGAGAAAUUGCCCUUCCUCUAAGCCCCAAUACAUACGUCCCUUGACAUAUAAGUCCUACAAGGUAGAUGUCUACACUGGAACCAUAGGGUUAGGCCUAAUUUCUGUUAAGUGAAACUGGGAGGAGAUGGUUGUUGGAAAAUAAAGAGCUAGAAGAAAAGAGGAAGCUAUUGGAGGCAGGACAGAGAAAAGAUUAGAAGAGACAGAAGUCUGUGGAGAGAGUUGUAAUUCCUUCAGUCUCUCUGAAAAUCUCUGCUGUCACAUUUUCUAGGCUCCAAUUCACCUGGUUGGAAUGAGGGCAGAGCAAAGAGUUCCUACCUAAACCAGAGAAAGGAAAAUCUGUUG